This is a small nucleolar RNA of 94 nucleotides. It matches the Rfam family "A. fumigatus snoRNA Afu_304". The record is from Rfam.
UUACAAGAUGACAAAGAGCGAUUGCUCUAUAAUCCCAGCUCUCUGAUGGCCCAUUAACGCUGGGCCGUUCUGAAGUGACGUCCUUUUCUGAUAU